UACAAUACAAACGCAAUACACGUACCAACAAUAAUAUGGUUCUGCUUUCAUAUAGCGGUCUUCUUUGUAUAUGCGUUAUUUUGAUGGCGGAAACGGUCGCAUGGUAUCCAAAUAUGAGACGGUUUAGUGUAAAUCCAUCGGCAAUGUCAGUUGAAUUAAAGACUGAACCAUCUAACUCUAUUUUGUUUGACAAUUCUUAUAUGAUGCCUUCAAACCGCCAAACUUCAAAACAUGGACAGUACUUCAUCAUUGGUGAGCAACGACUUCUUGGUGCGUUGCGAAAUAAAGAAGAUAUCAAGCGGAUUGCUGGAGUAAAUGCACAGCAAAAGCCAAUGUAAACAAAUGAAGAUAGCAUUUGAAGAUGGAGAUUGAUACGCAAACAAAAUGCCAGCGUCUUAUUUGGCAGGAUAUUUUCAUUGAUGUUAAAUAUUUCGUGUUGUGUGUGACAUACAACUGUAUAGACCAAUAAAUUAUAUCUAUGUUU
Mytilus californianus (California mussel) is the source of this 484-nucleotide long non-coding RNA. RefSeq lists it as uncharacterized. The record is from RefSeq and is a predicted model, not a curated record. The transcript has 4 exons. NCBI's taxonomy places the organism in Eukaryota, Metazoa, Mollusca, Bivalvia, Mytilida, Mytilidae.